Molecule: ribosomal RNA, 253 nt
Filed under: uncultured bacterium
Lineage: Bacteria
Description: partial 16S ribosomal RNA
Rfam family: Bacterial small subunit ribosomal RNA
Source: RNAcentral
UACGUAGGGGGCAAGCGUUGUCCGGAAUCAUUGGGCGUAAAGAGCGUGUAGGCGGCCUGAUAAGUCGGCUGUGAAAGUCAAGGGCUCAACCCUUGAAUGCCGGCCGAUACUGUCAGGCUAGAAUCCGGAAGAGGCGAGUGGAAUUCCUGGUGUAGCGGUGAAAUGCGCAGAUAUCAGGAGGAACACCCAUGGCGAAGGCAGCUCGCUGGGACGGUAUUGACGCUGAGACGCGAAAGCGUGGGGAGCGAACAGG